This is a long non-coding RNA of Centropristis striata (black sea bass), 1586 nucleotides long. RefSeq lists it as uncharacterized. Lineage: Eukaryota; Metazoa; Chordata; Actinopteri; Perciformes; Serranidae. The transcript has 5 exons. The record is from RefSeq and is a predicted model, not a curated record.
AAUUUCCACACAAAUAAACUGAAUAAUAUCUACCCAGAGAUUUUGGGUGUGCACUGAAGGGUGCGCAUGCGUGGUCACUUCUUCUUUGCUGUGGACCGUUGGUUGGCGGGACGUCUCCGGUUGUGGUUUGGCAUCGUGGUUGAAGCAGGAUCUAUGAAAACGUGGAGACCAAUUUGAAAGCAUAAGCUGGAUCUAUAUUAAGCCAAUGAACGGCUACUUGACCAGCCCACAACCUCAUCUGUUUGAAUACAAAAAGUUCCUCAGGGAUGUGGUUGUCAGUUGCCUCAUCGAGUACCUUGGAGAACAAAAGGAAGAUCUGUUCCAAGACUGCCAGGAGGACAUAGCUGAGGACCACACAGACUAAACCAUGAAGGUGCUCGUGAUCCAUAACCCCAUAGCUGAGGUGGAUCCAGCGGAUGUUUCUAUCGUGAUAGAGGGCGACAAGGUACUGAACGGAUGUGGAAAUCGAACCAAGGCCUGUAUGCUGUUGAUGGGUUUGAUUUACGCUCUGAACCUUGAGUAUCCCAAGAGUCUGAAAUACAUCUUUGAAGUAUUCCAGAAACUAUUUUUGGAGCUUGAUGGAGCAAAGCUGCUGAAGAAGGUGCACAGUCUCAAAAGUAAGCUUGUAGAAUGAAAUUUUGUACAUGCCUUUUUGUGCUAAUGAAUUCUCAAACCUGAUUGGAAGAGAUGUGUCCUGUGAAUUGAGAUCAGCCUUUUUUUUUUCUGGGAAGCAGGGCCGCGUUAUAUUUAUCUCGAUUCAGACAAUGUUUCUCUUUUUGUUUGUUUGUUUCUUAGAGAAAAGUUUUGUUUAGCUUUAAUUUUGUCUUCAGCAAGAAAAUACUUGAAAAUCAUUUUUGUUUUUUGUUUUUUUCAUAUUCAGAAAAGCAGCACCUCAAUAUUUGUCUAAGAUCAUCCUUUUUGUUUCUCAGGGGAAAACGACUCAGAUAUUUGCCUGGUCUAGUAUGUUUGAUUACUGAACACAAAAAAGAAGCUAAUCAAACACAUUUCAUGUUUUCAAUAUUGCUCAGGUAGAUUGCUUAUGUAACCUGAUUCCAUGACCAAUAUUGUUUCAGUUUAAUCAUUACAUGUUUUAGAUCCCAUGACAGAAAUAAUUGUGGACACUUGUGUGCUAGCUCUUGAUUGAAUUUUACUUUUAUUUAUUAAAUUUGCACACUAUUUUAUUUUAUCAAACUAUUUAGCUUAACAUUUUGCCACAUAACAUAUUUUUGGGGGUCUCAUUACCAACUUCUAUGGUGUAGCACUUUAUGUUUCACCUAAAUUGUAUCUUAAUUCUUAAAAGAUACUUGACUUGUACGUGUGUUCUUCAAUAAUCAGGUUAUACUGUACUUCAACUCAUACUUUGAGGGGGAGAAAGUUUUGUUUGUUUAUGUUAAAUAUUUCGGGCUCAAUGCUACUUGUCAAAUGUUUAAUGUGAUUUUUAAAAAAAGGUCAAUUAAUAAAGCAAUUGACUGGAUCAAUAUUGCCUCUUGUGUCAUUAACGUUUGGGUUAAUCAAGCAUGCUUUUUAAAAGUAUUAAUUGAUUAGUUAUUUUAAUUAAUAUGUACUAAAAAAAAUUAGGUAAAAAU